Molecule: ribosomal RNA, 253 nt
Filed under: uncultured bacterium
Lineage: Bacteria
Description: partial 16S ribosomal RNA
Rfam family: Bacterial small subunit ribosomal RNA
Source: RNAcentral
UACGUAGGGGGCAAGCGUUGUCCGGAUUUAUUGGGCGUAAAGAGCGUGUAGGCGGCCAGACAGGUCCGUUGUGAAAACUCGAGGCUCAACCUCGAGAUGUCGAUGGAAACCGUCUGGCUAGAGUCCGGAAGAGGAGCGUGGAAUUCCUGGUGUAGCGGUGAAAUGCGCAGAUAUCAGGAAGAACGCCUAUGGCGAAGGCAGCACUCUGGGACGGUACUGACGCUGAGACGCGAAAGCGUGGGGAGCGAACAGG